Molecule: ribosomal RNA, 434 nt
Filed under: uncultured bacterium
Lineage: Bacteria
Description: partial 16S ribosomal RNA
Rfam family: Bacterial small subunit ribosomal RNA
Source: RNAcentral
AGCGAACGCUGGCGGCAGGCCUAACACAUGCAAGUCGAACGAACCUUUCGGGGUUAGUGGCGGACGGGUGAGUAACACGUGGGAACGUGCCUUUAGGUUCGGAAUAACUCAGGGAAACUUGUGCUAAUACCGAAUGUGCCCUUCGGGGGAAAGAUUUAUCGCCUUUAGAGCGGCCCGCGUCUGAUUAGCUAGUUGGUUGAGGUAAUGGCUCACCAAGGCGACGAUCAGUAGCUGGUCUGAGAGGAUGAUCAGCCACAUUGGGACUGAGACACGGCCCAAACUCCUACGGGAGGGAGCAGUGGGGAAUCUUGCGCAAUGGGCGAAAGCCUGACGCAGCCAUGCCGCGUGAAUGAUGAAGGUCUUAGGAUUGUAAAAUUCUUUCACCGGGGACGAUAAUGACGGUACCCGGAGAAGAAGCCCCGGCUAACUUCGUG